Molecule: long non-coding RNA, 1790 nt
Organism: Cavia porcellus (domestic guinea pig)
Lineage: Eukaryota; Metazoa; Chordata; Mammalia; Rodentia; Caviidae
Exons: 2
Source: RefSeq, a predicted model, not a curated record
GAGCCGUGGCACUGUCAAGUCAUCAGACGCGGUGAUUGCGAGGCCUGUGGGAAAGUACAAAAGCCUGAGCUAGAUUACCCCUCUCAUCGAGCCCGCCUGUGUGGCACCUGUUUCUUAUCACCCCACUAAGUUCCCGCCUCACAGGGUAGUCUGCCUAGCUAUUAAUCCUAUAUAUAGCCAGUGCCUCCACCCCCGAGAGAGAGACUGAAGCACGGAAGGAGCCGCGGGGAGCGGACCGGUAGAGGCUUCGGGGGAGACUGAAGCACAAAAGGAGCCGCGGGGAGCGGACCGGUAGAGGCUUCGGGAGAGACUGAAGCACGGAAGGAGCCGCGGGGAGCGGACCGGUAGAGGCUUCGGGGGAGACUGAAGCACAAAAGGAGCCGCGGGGAGCGGACCGGUAGAGGCUUCGGGACAGACUGUAGAGAGACUGAAGCACGGAAGGAGCCGCGGAGAGCGGACCGGUAGAGGCUUCGGGGCAGACUGUAUAAGGAGAGAAUAAAGAAAAGCCUGACCACCGCCAGACCUUGUCGUGUGUCUUUCCUGCCGGCCGGGAGCGACAUCGACAUUUGGUGGCCCGCACGGGGAUUGAUCAACCCCGAGACGCGGCGGUGGACUGCAUUCUCCUACACAGUGCUGCAGCUGCAGGACAGGAAUCGGGACGAGAGCCAAUGUGGGUCCCAGAGAGGUUGACGCGACAAGUCCCUCGACUGAAGAUCAGGCCUGUUCCACCAGAGGCCAACCGCAGACCCAACAACAAGAUGAGCCCUAAAAGAACUGCAGGACAAUCCCUUUUUGGGGGCCUGGAACGGCUUGCUCCCCUAUGUGCUACCCUUGUAUACGCAUGGCUCGCUCGCAUGGCCUACGACCGCGUUUAAAAGUGACAGGCUUCCCACAUUCUCCUCCCUAGACAACAACAUGUAGCAGGGUGGGUGAGUCAAUGACGGGUAAGAGCGUGCCUCCCCAGCACGACUCAACCUAAGCCAGGCCCUACCCCGUUCCGCUCGAAAGCCGCUGGAUUGUUAGAUAAAUUUCUCUCCGAGGGGAUUCGUGGAGAGAAAUGAGUGCAUGCCUAUGUGCAACCAGGUUCCGUCCGGUUCAUUCCUGGCCCUAGAAAAAAGGACGAGGGCCUCAGGGCCUUGGUGGACCCUGGGACGGCCGACCAGGGUCUACGCUAAGGGCCUACGGUGGGCCUCAGUUCGGGGCAUAGGCCUCUGCACUCUAUCCAGGACGGGCUGCGAUGCGCGUAGCCAUCAUUUAAAAUAAAAUAGGGGGAGAUGUUGGGAGCCGUGGCACUGUCAAGUCAUCAGACGCGGUGAUUGCGAGGCCUGUGGGAAAGUACAAAAGCCUGAGCUAGAUUACCCCUCUCAUCGAGCCCGCCUGUGUGGCACCUGUUUCUUAUCACCCCACUAAGUUCCCGCCUCACAGGGUAGUCUGCCUAGCUAUUAAUCCUAUAUAUAGCCAGUGCCUCCACCCCCGAGAGAGAGACUGAAGCACGGAAGGAGCCGCGGGGAGCGGACCGGUAGAGGCUUCGGGGGAGACUGAAGCACAAAAGGAGCCGCGGGGAGCGGACCGGUAGAGGCUUCGGGAGAGACUGAAGCACGGAAGGAGCCGUGGGGAGCGGACCGGUAGAGGCUUCGGGGGAGACUGAAGCACAAAAGGAGCCGCGGGGAGCGGACCGGUAGAGGCUUCGGGGCAGACUGAAGCACGGAAGGAGCCUCGGAGAGCGGACCGGUAGAGGCUUCGGGGCAGACUGUAUAAGGAGAGAAUAAAGAAAAGCCUGACCACCGCCA